RNAcentral lists this long non-coding RNA (6018 nucleotides) under Nicotiana benthamiana. RNAcentral's name for it is "long non-coding RNA (NBEN_LNC011994)". The record is from RNAcentral. Lineage: Eukaryota; Viridiplantae; Streptophyta; Magnoliopsida; Solanales; Solanaceae.
GGUCCAGCUUCUGUAAAACUAAACUAUGUAGGCCCACUAUGUAAGUCCAAUAUUGUCAACACUUCCCCUCAAACUGGAGGGUGUAGAUACUCCAAGCUUGCACAAAAACCGAUGGUGAAGAGGUCCAGACAAGUUCUUAGUCAAUAUAUCAGCAAGUUGGUUGGAGCUGGAGACAAAUUGAAGAGAAAUCAACCCAGAGCUCAAGCUGUCCCAUAGAAAUGACAAUCAACUUAAUGUGCUUGGUGCGCUCGUGGAAAACUGAAUUUUAGCAAUGUGUAAAGCUGCCUGGCUAUCACAAAACAAAGGAGUAAGAGCAGAAAUAUGCAAAUGGAAGUCACCAAGAAGUGUAACCAACCAAGAAAUUUCAGCUAAUACCAUCCUCAAGGCCCUAUACUCAGCCUCAGCUGAUGAGAGAGAGGGAGGGGGAGAGAGAGAGAGAGAGAGAGAGAGAGAGAGAGAGAGAGAGAGAGAGAGAGAUAGAGAGAGAGAGAGAGAGAGAGAGACAAUUGGUUGUUUCUUGCUCUUUUAUGAAAUAGGACUGCCUCCGAGAGUAAUAUAGAAACCAGUAACAGACCUUCUUGAAAUAGGAAAUGCAGCCCAAUCAGAGUCAGAGAAAGCUGCUAAGGACAAAUAAGAGCUGGCAGAGAGGAGAAUUCCUUGGGCAGGAGCAUUUAAGAGAUAUCCGAGAACAUGAAGAGUUGCUAGCAUGUAAGGAACAUGAGGAGAUUGCAAAAGUUGGUUGAGGUGCUGGACAGAAAAAAAUAUGUCAGGUCUGGUAUGUUGGAGGAAAUUGAGUUUGCCUACCAGUCUUCUGAAUUUGGUAGGAUCAAAAAGAGCGUCUCCCAUAUUAGUAACAAAUUUAACAGUGGAAUCCAAGGGCGUAGAAACAUGGGUGAAGUUGUCAAAAUGAAAUUCAGCCAAGAGGUCAGAAGUAUACUUAUGUUGUCUCAUGAGGUGCCUUUGUGGAUGUGAAGUGAUUUCCAAACCCAAGAAAUAAUGGAUAUCACCUAAAUCCUUAAUCUUGAAUUGGUUAUCCAAGAAAACCUUCAGAGAAUUCAAUUCAAUAAGAUCAUCCCCAGCUAAGAGGAUGUCAUCCACAUAAAUGACAACCACAAUAAGAGAAGCACCCUAAGCCUUUGUAUAUAAAGAGUAGUCAUUUUUGCUGGAAGUCUAGCCUCUGGAUAGAAAAGAAUCAUACAGCUUUGAAAACCACUGUCUAGAUGCUUGCUUGAUGCCAUAAAGAGACUUCUUGAGUCUACAAACCGAUGGAGAAGAAGGAGAAGAUGGAGCAGAGAUCACCAAAUCAGGGGAAGCUUCAUGUAGACCUCCUCAUGUAGGUCACCAUGCAAAAAAAUAUUGUUAACAUCCAACUGGAAAACAGUCCAACCCCUUUUGACAGCCAAAGUAAGGAGGCAUCUAAUAGUGGCGAUCUUAAUAACUGGGGAAACUGUCUCAGUGUAGUCAACCUCUUCUCUUUGGGUAUCCCCUCGAAUUACUAAUCUGGCCUUGUACCUCUCAAUGGUACCACCUGACCUUUGUUUGAUCUUAUAGACCUACUUACAAGGGAUAACUUUCUUAUGUGGAAGAAGAGGGACAAUGUCCCAAGUCUGAUUUUCAGCAAGAGCAUCAAAUUCCUUUAGCAUUGCCUCUUGCCAAGCAGGAUUAUCAGUAGCCUAUUGGUAAAAUUGGGACUCAUGCAUAUGUAGGUCAAUUGUAGGAACCUUGGAUGAAAGAAGAGGAGAAAGGAAGGAAGGGAUAACUGAAUUGCAGACAUAAUCCCCAAGAUAAGCAGGGGCUUGAACAGUUCUGCCGGAUCUUCUAAGUUCAGGAGCAAGUAGAGUAGGUAUAAAAAUGGAAGAAUGAGAGGUAGAUGGAGAAGAAGGAGAGAUGAAAGUAGGAGGAGAAUAGGAGGAAGAAUGGGAGGGGAAGGAUAAGGGAAAAGGGAGGAAGAGGGUAGGACAGAAGCAACAGAGUGUGUAGAGGGGACAUCAACAACUAUGAGAGGAGGAGAAUGAUCAGAAGAAGAGGAAUAUGGAAAGGGGAAGAUAUGCUCAUGGAACACAACAUCCCUGAAAAAGAAAAUAGAGUGAAAAAAUAAAUUCAGCAUUUGUAUCCCUUCUUCCCACAAGGGUAACCCAUAUAAACAACAGAAAUAGACCUUGAUUGAAAUUUAUCCCUGCCAGGCUUGGGACUGACAGCAUGGCAAAGGCAACCAAAAGAUCUUAGAUGAUCAUAAAUGGGGGCAUGACCAUGCAAUUUUUCAAAAAGGGAGACAUUUAGAAGAACAUGAGAAAGAAUUCUGUUAAUAAGGUUAGUGGUAGUGAGAACACACCCACCUCAGUACUUGCGGGGAAAUCUUGGUUGGAAUAAAAGUGCUCUGGAGACUUCUAACAUGUGUUUGUGUUUUCUUUCAACGAUACCAUUAUGUUGGGGGUGUGAGGAAUGGUUGUUUGGUGAUGAAUCCUAUUAGCAGUAAAUAAUUGCUAAGCUUCAACACUAUUACCAAGUUCAUAGGCAUUAUCAGAUAUAAAAUAUUGAAUAGAGGACUAAAAUUGAACUUUGACCAUCUGAAGGAAGCUUUAAGAAUGGAAAGGACAUUACUCUUACAAGACAUAAGAUGAGUCCAUGUGACUCUAGUGAAGUUAUUAACUAAAGUAAGAAAAUACCUAAAGCCAUUGUAUGUUUGGGUGUUGUAGGGACCUCAAAUAUCAAUGUGGACAAGUUGAAAAGGUACAACAGAAUGGACAGAGCUAGCAGGGAAAGGUAACCUCUGUUGUCUAGCCAUAGGGAAUACAUUACACAGAAAUGGUUGUUUAGGUGAAAUCUUAUCUGAUAAAAAGAGGAUAGACUUCAUUCUUGCAAAAGGAAUAUGACCUAAUCUUUGAUGUUAAAAUACAUCAUUUUUAUUAGCAACAACAAAAGAAUUACAAUGUGAACUAGAGAGUACAUAAUGCGAAGUAGACCAAGGAACUUGACUAGGUACAUUACACGCAUAGAAUUGAAACUGGAACAAACUUGGAAAUAGAAACAGGAGAGGAUCUACCAGCUCAAUGUAGAAAAUACAGUCCAUUUGCAGCCUUACCAAUUACUAGAGGCCUCCUCAGAGAAGGGCCCUGUAAAAUACAAUUGUAAAUAGUGAAAACUGCAAUGCAUAUGAACUGGAGAAGUGAUUUGUGCACAGAAAUCAAAUUGAAGUGAAAAGAUGGAACUAAGAGGACAUUGUGUAUUGUCAUAUCAGGACUGAGAAAUAGGGAUCCGGUAAAUAUGACUUUUACCUUACAUCGAUUAGGUAAAGUUAUUAGGAAAGGUGUGGUUAAAGGUUUGAGAUUGUAAAGGAGAGGUUUGUGUGGUGUCAUAUGGUUUGUAGCACCAGAGUUAAUGAUCCAAGGAUCUCUACCUAAAUUUGAUGCUACAUAUGCAUGAAAUGCAGCUGAAUGGACCUCAGGAUGGUUGUAUACGCAUGCAAAGUUGGCAAAUCCAGUGUUGUCAAUAGCAAUGCUGUCAUGAUGGGAAGAUGGAUUGACUUUCUGAAGUAGGGUGUCACGACCCGGAAUUCCCACCCUCAGGAGUCGUGACGGCGCCUGCUAAUGGGAGCUAGAAAAGCCAACCUUUAACUACCUUUUUCAUAACUGAUUCCCUCCUUGUAGACAUUAUCGGUAAUAUCAUGAAACAACGAAAUAAAGUAAAUAAGCGAAAGUCUUAAAUUAAAGAAUCUAAACGAUAAUGCGGAAAAAUCAACAUAAUCUCUACCCAAACACUGGUGUCACAUACUCACGAACCACAAAGAGUACUACACAAAACCAUUUGAAAAGAAUAUAACAUUGUUUGUCUCGGAAUACAUGAGAUAACAAAAUGAAAAGCAAGAUAGAGGAGACUUUUGGCAUGCGGAUGUCUGCGACACUACCUCUGUGUCUCGGUGGACUGAAGGCUGGCUCUCGAUCUAAUGCUGCUGCUCAAAUGCUACUCUGACACAUGGGUCCAAAAGAGCACAGAGUGUAGCACCAACACAAUCGAUCCCAUGUGCUGGUAAGUGUCUGGCCUAACCCCGGCGAAGUAGUGACGAGGCUAGGACCAGACUUCGACACCUGGAUUUGUGCAAGAAGAGCACAGAGUGUAGUAUCAGCACAAUGGACCCCAUGUGUUGGUAAGUGUCUGGCCUAACCCUCGGCGAAGUAGUGACGAGGCUAGCACCAGACUCCAGAUAAGCCGGUAAAAUUUUAUAAUAUAUGGCGAAAAAGUAAACAAGUAAUAUGAACUAAAAAUCGGGGAAGAGGAACAUGUUGUGGGGAUGACAGAUAAACAGUAUAUCAAGAACCAUAAGGAAAAACUGUAAUUUAACUUCUAGCGCAGAUAAAGAGAAGUAAAAACAACUUUCAGUUUCAAUCUUGUUGCACGCGUAUAACCCGAUCCCAUUUCUCAUAUCUCGUGGUAGGCGUACAACCCGCUCCCAUUUCAUCAAGUCUCGUGGUGUGCAUACCACCCGCUCCCAUUUUAUCAAGUCUCGUGGUAGGCGUACCACCCGAUACCAUUUAAUUAUAUCUCGUGGUACGCGUACCACCCGAUCCGAUUCAUCAUAUCUGGUGGUAGGCGUACCACCUGAUCCUAUUUCAUUACAUCUCAUGGUAGGCGUACCACCCGCUUCCAUUUCAAUAUCUUGUGGUAACCAUACCACCCGCUCCCUUUUCAAUAUCUUAUGGUAGACGUAUCACCCUCUCCCAUUUCAAUAUUUUGUGGUAGGCAUACCACCCGAUCCUAUUUCAUGUUAUCACAUAAUCACAAGAAAUCCCGGCAAUGGAACAAAGUAACAUAAUAACUUCCCGGCAAGGGAACAACAAUUUAGAAACAAUCAUCCCGGCAAGGGAAAAUCAGCUAUAACCAACCUUAACUCAGUUUGAUUAAUGGAGAUGCUCAAUCAUAAAUAGGAUCUACAAGGAUAAACAAAUCUUUUCCCAAUACGGUAAGCAUUGGAUAAGGCAUACAUGAUGUCAUUUAAGAAUACAACAACUCCCAACUUAGGACUCACAGUCAUGUUUGACAUCAACGUAUAGAUACUCGUCACCAUGCCUAUACGUCGUACUAAAAAAAGAGAAAUUAGCACAUAAGACUCAACUCCUAAUCCCUCAAGCUAAGGUUAGACCGAACACUUACCUCAAUGCCUUGAAUUCAACUCAAGCCUCAAUUAUAGCUUUACCCCUCGGUUCCACCGCGAAUUCACUCGAAUCUAGUCAUAAGUUACUUAUCACAUUAACAAAUGCUACAUGAAUCAACCCCAAUGCAUGAAUAAGUUUUACAAGGUUUUAUCCCAAAAGGUCAGAAAUGCCCCGGGCCCACGUGGUCAAAACUCGAGGUUCGGAUCAUUACCCGAUUGCCCAGUCCCCCAUGAAUCCAAAUGUAUGAAUUUUUUUUGAAAUCGAACCUAAGGUCCAACUCCCAAUCUUUUAAAAAACCUAGGUUCUACCCAAAACACCCAAUUGUUCCAUGAAAAUCUUUGAUUUGAAGUUGAAAUCAUGUUAAAAGAUUUUAAGGAGUGAAGAAAAUAAGUUAGAAAUCACUUACCAAUCAUUUUGGAGAAGAAGAGUUGUUUGAAAAAUCGCCUAUUAUGUUUUGGAGUUGUGAAAAGUGUAAAAUAACUGAAAUUCAUGUGUAUUUAUACCCCUAUGAAGUUACAUAUGCGGACUGUGCAAAAAGUACCGCGACCGCACAGUCUUUCUGAAGACCUGCGGAUCAUUGCCCAGCGUGGACCGCACCAAGCCGACCGCGGUCGCACAACACGCACCGCACACCGCACAAAGGUGGCUGCGGCCGCAUAUGAUUUCUCGGGGGCCGCGCAAGAGGGUUCAGAGACAUGUCAAUUUCCUGAACCUAUAGCAUCUGAUCUUUUUAAGUCUAAGGCAUCCUAGAACCUACCCUAAGCUCACCCGAGCCCUCGAAACUCUAAUCCAAGUAUACACACAACAUCAAAAAUAUCUUACAAACAUAUUCGUGGGAUCAAAUCACCAAUAUAACAUCAUGAAUAUC